This 73-nucleotide transfer RNA is filed under the name Candidatus Brocadiia bacterium. Its description in RNAcentral is "tRNA-Phe". It matches the Rfam family "tRNA". Rfam says of the family: Transfer RNA (tRNA) molecules are approximately 80 nucleotides in length. Their secondary structure includes four short double-helical elements and three loops (D, anti-codon, and T loops). The record is from RNAcentral. Lineage: Bacteria; Pseudomonadati; Planctomycetota; Candidatus Brocadiia.
GGGUAGGUAGCUCAGCAGGUAGAGCAGCGGACUGAAAAUCCGUGCGUCGAUGGUUCAAUCCCGUCCCUACCCA